GACGAACGCUGGCGGCGUGCUUAACACAUGCAAGUCGAACGGAUCGGCAGGAGCUUGCUUCUGUCGGUUAGUGGCGAACGGGUGAGUAACACGUGAGCAAUCUGCCCUUGACUCUGGGAUAACUGCGGGAAACUGUAGCUAAUACCGGAUAUGACGCGCGAAGGCAUCUUCUGCGCGUGGAAAGAAUUUCGGUCAGGGAUGAGCUCGCGGCCUANCAGCUUGUUGGUGAGGUAAUGGCUCACCAAGGCGACGACGGGUAGCCGGCCUGAGAGGGUGACCGGCCACACUGGGACUGAGACACGGCCCAGACUCCUACGGGAGGCAGCAGUGGGGAAUAUUGCACAAUGGGCGAAAGCCUGAUGCAGCAACG
RNAcentral lists this ribosomal RNA (370 nucleotides) under uncultured bacterium. RNAcentral describes it as "bacterial SSU rRNA". It matches the Rfam family "Bacterial small subunit ribosomal RNA", at positions 28 to 396 of the family's 1533-position model. The record is from RNAcentral.